CAAGUCGAGGGGUAUAGGUUUUCGGACCUAGAGACCGGCGCACGGGUGCGUAACGCGUAUGCAAUCUACCUUUUACAGAGGGAUAGCCCAGAGAAAUUUGGAUUAAUACCUCAUAGUAUUAUUGAAUGGCAUCAUUUAAUAAUUAAAGUCACAACGGUAAAAGAUGAGCAUGCGUCCCAUUAGCUUGUUGGUAAGGUAACGGCUUACCAAGGCAACGAUGGGUAGGGGUCCUGAGAGGGAAAUCCCCCACACUGGUACUGAGACACGGACCAGACUCCUACGGGAGGCAGCAGUGAGGAAUAUUGGUCAAUGGGCGCAAGCCUGAACCAGCCAUGCCGCGUGCAGGAUGAAGCAUCUAUGGUGUGUAAACUGCUUUUGUACGAGAAGAAACACUCCUUCGUGAAGGAGCUUGACGGUAUCGUAAGAAUAAGGACCGGCUAACUCCGUGCCAGCAGCCGCGGUAAUACGGAGGGUCCAAGCGUUAUCCGGAAUCAUUGGGUUUAAAGGGUCCGUAGGCGGUUUUGUAAGUCAGUGGUGAAAGCCCAUCGCUCAACGGUGGAACGGCCAUUGAUACUGCAAGACUUGAAUUAUUGGGAAGUAACUAGAAUAUGUAGUGUAGCGGUGAAAUGCUUAGAGAUUACAUGGAAUACCAAUUGCGAAGGCAGGUUACUACCAAUAUAUUGACGCUGAUGGACGAAAGCGUGGGGAGCGAACAGGAUUAGAUACCCUGGUAGUCCACGCCGUAAACGAUGGAUACUAGCUGUUCGGAGCAAUCUGAGUGGCUAAGCGAAAGUGAUAAGUAUCCCACCUGGGGAGUACGUUCGCAAGAAUGAAACUCAAAGGAAUUGACGGGGGCCCGCACAAGCGGUGGAGCAUGUGGUU
This 882-nucleotide ribosomal RNA is filed under the name uncultured Flavobacteriaceae bacterium. RNAcentral describes it as "bacterial SSU rRNA". It matches the Rfam family "Bacterial small subunit ribosomal RNA", at positions 58 to 946 of the family's 1533-position model. Lineage: Bacteria; Pseudomonadati; Bacteroidota; Flavobacteriia; Flavobacteriales; Flavobacteriaceae. The record is from RNAcentral.